UACGAAGGGGGCUAGCGUUGCUCGGAAUCACUGGGCGUAAAGGGUGCGUAGGCGGGUCUUUAAGUCAGGGGUGAAAUCCUGGAGCUCAACUCCAGAACUGCCUUUGAUACUGAGGAUCUUGAGUUCGGGAGAGGUGAGUGGAACUGCGAGUGUAGAGGUGAAAUUCGUAGAUAUUCGCAAGAACACCAGUGGCGAAGGCGGCUCACUGGCCCGAUACUGACGCUGAUGUGCGAAAGCGUGGGGAGCAAACAGG
RNAcentral lists this ribosomal RNA (253 nucleotides) under uncultured bacterium. Its description in RNAcentral is "partial 16S ribosomal RNA". It matches the Rfam family "Bacterial small subunit ribosomal RNA", at positions 524 to 776 of the family's 1533-position model. The record is from RNAcentral.